RNAcentral lists this unclassified non-coding RNA (302 nucleotides) under Bombus terrestris (buff-tailed bumblebee). RNAcentral describes it as "misc RNA ENSBTSG00005020499.1". Lineage: Eukaryota; Metazoa; Arthropoda; Insecta; Hymenoptera; Apidae. The record is from RNAcentral.
UCCGUUUCCACGCCUACGUUUAUAAUUAAUGGACCGCUCGUUGCGCCUAUUAUACAGCGCCGUGUUGCACGUCCGCUUAGACGUUUUUGGAUUAACUAUUAUUAGACUAUGGAUCUGUGCACAGACUUAAUAUUCUUAAGAAGAGAUAUCUCGUUUCGUUUGUUGAAACGUUACGUUGCAUAAUGAUACACAGGGUGACUGUACUUUUUCCUGUGGAUCUAUGCCAGCGUAUGCUACGUGUCGAGAUGAGAGAAAAAUGUCGUGUACACGCUUUUCAAGGAGGUGGAAUCUGGUUAAAAGAU